RNAcentral lists this transfer RNA (73 nucleotides) under Candidatus Latescibacterota bacterium. Its description in RNAcentral is "tRNA-Asn". It matches the Rfam family "tRNA". Rfam says of the family: Transfer RNA (tRNA) molecules are approximately 80 nucleotides in length. The record is from RNAcentral. Lineage: Bacteria; Pseudomonadati; Candidatus Latescibacterota.
UCCGAGGUAGCUCAGCGGUCAGAGCAGGUGCCUGUUAAGUACUUGGUCGAGGGUUCGAAUCCCUCUCUCGGAG